CGACACUGAAACCUCCGCGCAUGCGCCGAGCAAACAAGGCGAAGCCCCGUGUCGGUGCGCGUAUCUCUUUAAGGAAAACCACGUGACCGAUACAAUUCCUGUGUCGUUUGGUUGUGAAGGCGCCAAAUUGUAUUUAUGAACAGAAAAUGUAUCGACAUGUUGGUGGGUUUUGUUGGAUGGAGAUAGUUUGUGUUGUUUGGCUUGUCAAUGAAACUAUGAUCAAUCGAGGAAGAGGAAGUUUUCUCCCGUUUGAUCAUUUUGAUCUUAUCACGGAGAAUAAGGUCAAUUAUUAUUCCCUUCUCGUUUCCACUAUUGAUCAUUCUUCUGUCGGGUUAUUCCAAUUUCUUUCUGAAGAAUACUUUAAUUAGUUUACAUGGAUUAACUUUUAUUUCUAUUGUAGAUGAAAUGUAUACAACAACGUGAUUAUACAACAUCACGUUGUUGUAUAAAAUUGCACUAAAUGUUGUCCUAAAAAAAAUCAUUUUUAAUACCAAAAAGGUUCAUGUUGUCCAUUCUUGAACCUCUUACUAUAACGCUUUACGCAACUAUAUUUACUUUUUUUAAACCGGUUUGAGGUCAAGAAGGAAAAUCCAUACAGCCAAUAUGGACCAGCAAAAGCAAGAGAAAAUUCCCUAAAGCUUUUGGGCAAAAUGAAAAUGCUUUAAAGUGAAAUGGCAUUAUAUUCAAGUUUCAUAAAGAGGACCUGAAACUAUUAAUGUGUCGCUUCUCCGAUGAAGGAAUAUUGUCUGAUUUGAUGAAUUUAUGAUCUAAUUGCACUUUCAAUUUUUCAAGAUAGAAAUACGUCAGAAGGAAGAAACUGCAGCAUUCAUCUCGGCUGAUUUGUAAACAGUUAAAAAAAUAAUAAAAAAUACAACUCAGUUUUUUUUGUUGUGUUUUUUUUUUCUUGGCGAUUGGCCCAAAGAUGUUAACGCAGCUGAUGUUUCUAAAUAAAAAUGUGUGAAUGAACCUUGUUCAGUCUGUUUCCAGUCUUUAUUGAUGUUUCCUGAAUUACUUUUUAAAUCCAGCAGAUGUCGCCAUUGAGCGAUACAGCAACACAGUUUCAACACAGUUUGGGAAAUGUACCACACACCCAAUGAGGCCUCAUCUGCCCUUCACUAGUAUUCACCACGACGAGAGAAUGGUUUCUGAGCAUCAAUGCUGAACCGGACCUCCUCGUCUCUCCUGGUUCUGAUUCUGAGUUCUGCUGCUCUGGGAAAAUCUCUGCCCACCGUGAAUGAAACUCUGGACGUCUACGAGGCCGAGGAGAACUCCAACGUCACGCUGAAAUGGAUCCGUCCG
This is a long non-coding RNA of Poeciliopsis prolifica (blackstripe livebearer), 1299 nucleotides long. RefSeq lists it as uncharacterized. The record is from RefSeq and is a predicted model, not a curated record. Lineage: Eukaryota; Metazoa; Chordata; Actinopteri; Cyprinodontiformes; Poeciliidae. The transcript has 3 exons.